AACAGUUGCAUAACCCUCUUUUUAUCUGGGGUGUUGACCCAGCCAUUCAUUCCAUGUUUGCUGUGGUGAGUUCAGCUAAGCUGGUUCCCAAGGCAACCGUAAUCCCUGAACAGAGCCAGCUCCAUUGGUGGUCAGUUACUACACGCUUUGUCCUGUCAGUGUCCUGUAACCGAUUGAAUGGAGAGACAGAAAACAAGCACCUUCAGUAAACAUGACCUAAUGAGGGUGGCGGCCUCCGACUAACUGCAGUGAGCUGCCUGGAAGGCUCCGGAAGAAGCCAGGACUCUCACGUGGACAGAGGCGCCACCCCCCAAAGGGGCUCCUCUCAGAAAGACUCUUAGUUUGGGGUUUCAUGGCAUCAAACUAUCCGAUUCAUCUCCAGGGCCAAGGAAUGAUCUUCUGACUGACCUUUUCUAAUAACUCCGUCCACCGAUGAAUUCGGGACUCCCAAAGGGAAACAGUUCGUAGAUGCCAAAGCGGAGGCAGGAAGAAGUGCAGCGCUUUGUUUAAGGCCACACACCUCGUAAAUGGCAGACCUAGGAUUAGAACCCAGGGGCGUGGUCACACAGUAUCGUUCUAGAAGACUCCACGAAAAUCAGAAUUAAUUCAUCCUCGGAAAAGGAAAGGGGAAAACCCAUUCUUCUCCAGUUACUCCAAUUCCAAUGUAAUUGGAGUCUUAGAGGACAAAUCUCAGAGUGUAUUCUGAGGCAUAAAAACGGGUGAGUGGAUGGCAAUUGGAAAAUGGAGGAAGGUUGCAUUGCUCUGACCCUAAUUCUUUAUUCUACGUUGAAUAUUGUGUGUGGCUCAGCCCAAGAAAGCACGAGUCUUUAGGUUGCGUGCACAGCCUUCAGGCUGACUCUGUAAAGCUGUUUCAGGAGCUCAUUGGCCACUCUGGCUCCAUUCCUAACAUGCACUGGCCACACCUUCUCUCAUACUCAUAAGUCACGACUCAUUUCCACCAUCAACACGAGGCCAUGCCCGUUAUUGUGCAAUCACUCUGUGAUCGUUUUAUAUCAUGACUUAUAAUAAGCGUAUCACCGGCCGAAGCUUAGAGUAUCUUUUUGUUGUGGUGGGAUUCUCUUCAAAGACCAACAGGAUGUACCAGCUUACAGCAUGAAUGUCAACAGCCACAGGAAUGGCCACUCUCAACCGUGUGGGUGAGUUACCACCCCGGCGUGCCCAUCACCAUCCCUUCUGAGAAGUAUUUGCAUGUUGGUUGCGGUCAGCCUUCCCUGCCGUUAAAAGUCACACUCCCUGUUCUCAAAGGAACCCUAAACAGUCAUGUCUGGUUACACUUUUCUCUCCAAGCCUGACAUGUCAAAGGAAAGAUGAGUAAAAACAGUGGCUUGCCACAUUUGUGAUGUUGCCAACCUCUGAUCCUACAGAAAUUGCCAUUGCCACGGGCUUCAGGACGAGCUGGGUGGGUCCCUGUGGCCUCAUACAGAGCGACACCACUCGCGUAGACGAAUGACUACCAGCCUCCUCAGCCACAGCCUGGUGUCCUGCCACGGUCUCCCUCGGGGCUCUCCCCUCUUCGGCAUGCUCCUCCUAGAACAUUGCUGUUGUCGUUAAUUACAACACAGGAGAAGCCAGAAGACUGUCAAGCUCCUCACUUCUCAGCGUGGGUGCCCAGGCUCAGCCCCACUCGGGCUUGCAGAGCACCUUCACUGGAGCCCAAGACCUCCCCUAAUUGGCUGUACAAAUUUACAUGUGAUCUGAAUCAAAAAUAGAUGCGUGCAAUGCAAGUCCUUGCCUGGGCUCGCUUUGUAUAGCACCCAGAACGGUGUCUUACUCAUAGGGGUGCUUAAUAAGCACCAUUUCAGAAGAACCUUCCUUGUCAGUUGUCAUCUUUGACAACAAAAGCCCUUGGUUGUUCAGCUUCCUUCUUAUCCAAAAAUACAGAGCCGGCUAAGGUGACAUUCCAGAACUUUGUGUGCUCACUGCCCACCUCGGACCUCCCUUUGAGAGUCCUAGUGUAAUUACAAGCUCACGUCUGCCUCCUUUAGAAAAAUUUAGGAAGAGAAAUUUAGGCAGAGUCCAGAAUCAUUCUGGAAAUCGUCUCCCUCCUCCAUCCCCAGCCCUUUUUCAUCCUGUGCAGUGGUGGUGGUGGUGGGGGGGGGGACCCAGGGCGUGUGUAGGGCCACCAAGCACUUCACUGUAUUCAUUGCAAAGGGCUUGAUCCAAUCACAGGCUGAGGAAGAACUCCUGGGGAGAUGAAUGCCAUUACAAAUCUUGCCCUCGACAUGAAACGCCAGUGAUUGUUUAUUAAAUUGCUCUUCAAAGAGAAAACACUGGCAGGCAAAUAUCAUUAAAACGGAAGCAAAGGGAAAUGCCAUAACCUUCAACAUGGCGCUUUUCUCCAUUACCCUCAGACCACUACGACUGGAAUGGCCAGUAGGAACUUCUGGCCCUGAGCCCCAUCAGUUACCUUCAUCUCAGCCCAGGGAGGGGUAACACAAACCACCCAGUUUUAGUACUUCCAAAUACCGCCAUGAGAAAAAACGACCCCCCAAACCCUUAACCUAAGUCCACUGUCUCAACUGCAGUGGAAGACAAAUUGUAUCAUACAUGAGUAACAUUAAAACAUAAAAGACAUACCCUCCAGUGAAAACCUUGCACAACUUUACCGAGUAAGCAGAAUUAAUCAUAGGGAACAAUUACCAUUCCUGGUCUGAAUAUUUAUGACAUAACAGAAAGCCCAUUUAAAAUACUUAGUAGCUCGUAAUUUUAAAAAGAGCCACAGGGAGAGGGGGAGCCAUGCUAAGUGUAUGAUGAAAAGGGGCAGGGGAGGACAGCUUCUUUCUUAAUCCUCCUCUCCUGUUGGUGCUCCCCACACAUCCUUCUCCCUCCUCCCCUCCUGUAUCCUCAUACCUUUUGUCAUCACCUUUGAUAAUGGCCUGCUGGACAGCAAUGGGAAGAUGGGACACAUGCUAACAGCCUCUGUCCCCACCAGUUCCUUAUCCGUUCCAGGUGUCUCCACCGUCCUCCCAUCUACCCACUCUCCAGUGGCCGUGUAGCAGGUAUCUGCAUGUUGAAAUGGAAAUGACACUGGACGAGGAGUCAUUGCUCUGGCUCUAUCACAAACCUCUGUGAUCCUAGACAUGACCCACAACUGCGGAUCUAUAAGGCUUUGGACUGGAAAACUCUAGGUUUCCUUUUGCUUCUAUGGACAUAUGAGUUCUUUGAUUCAAGUAAUUUCUAAAUAAAUGGAUUCAUUCACUCA
Long non-coding RNA from Felis catus (domestic cat), 3223 nucleotides. RefSeq lists it as uncharacterized. The transcript has 3 exons. Lineage: Eukaryota; Metazoa; Chordata; Mammalia; Carnivora; Felidae. The record is from RefSeq and is a predicted model, not a curated record.